AUUGAACGCUGGCGGCAUGCUUUACACAUGCAAGUCGAACGGCAGCGGGGCUUCGCCCGCCGGCGAGUGGCGAACGGGUGAGUAAUGCAUCGGAACGUGCCCAGUCGUGGGGGAUAACACAUCGAAAGAUGUGCUAAUACCGCAUACGUCCUGAGGGAGAAAGCGGGGGAUCUUCGGACCUCGCGCGAUUGGAGCGGCCGAUGUCGGAUUAGCUAGUUGGUGGGGUAAAAGCCCACCAAGGCGACGAUCCGUAGCGGGUCUGAGAGGAUGAUCCGCCACACUGGGACUGAGACACGGCCCAGACUCCUACGGGAGGCAGCAGUGGGGAAUUUUGGACAAUGGGGGGCAACCCUGAUCCAGCCAUGCCGCGUGAGUGAAGAAGGCCUUCGGUUGUAAAGCUCUUUCGUACGGAAGAAAUACGCCGCCUCUAACAUAGGCGGUGGAU
Molecule: ribosomal RNA, 445 nt
Filed under: uncultured bacterium
Lineage: Bacteria
Description: bacterial SSU rRNA
Rfam family: Bacterial small subunit ribosomal RNA
Source: RNAcentral